CACGCCGUAAACUAUGAUUACUCGAUGUGUGCGAUACACAGUACGCGUCCAAGCGAAAGCGUUAAGUAAUCCACCUGGGGAGUACGAUCGCAAGAUUGAAACUCAAAGAAAUUGACGGGGGCCCGCACAAGCGGAGGAGCAUGUGGUUUAAUUCGAUGAUACGCGAGGAACCUUACCUGGGCUUGAAAGUUAGUGAAUGAUCUUGAAAGAGGUCAGGCCGCAAGGACACGAAACUAGGUGC
RNAcentral lists this ribosomal RNA (241 nucleotides) under uncultured bacterium. RNAcentral's name for it is "partial 16S ribosomal RNA". It matches the Rfam family "Bacterial small subunit ribosomal RNA", at positions 796 to 1041 of the family's 1533-position model. The record is from RNAcentral.